Hypanus sabinus (Atlantic stingray) is the source of this 108-nucleotide small nuclear RNA. The record is from RefSeq and is a predicted model, not a curated record. NCBI's taxonomy places the organism in Eukaryota, Metazoa, Chordata, Chondrichthyes, Myliobatiformes, Dasyatidae.
UUACUUCAGGAGCACAUCAGCUAUACCAAGAUUGAAAGAAUACAGUGAAGAUUAGCAUGGCACCUGCACGGCAAUGAUAUGCAAAUCUGUAAGCCGUUCCGUUAAUUG